RNAcentral lists this ribosomal RNA (476 nucleotides) under uncultured bacterium. RNAcentral describes it as "bacterial SSU rRNA". It matches the Rfam family "Bacterial small subunit ribosomal RNA", at positions 29 to 506 of the family's 1533-position model. The record is from RNAcentral.
AUGAACGCUGGCGGCGUGGUUAAGGCAUGCAAGUCGAACGGACCUCAUUUUUCUCGAGAUUGAGAUUAUAUCAAUGUCAAAAGUCGUUUGAGGUUAGUGGCAAACGAGGUAGUAAUACAUAGGAACUUCCCCCGAAGUCGCGAACAACGCACCGAAAGGUGUGCUAAUACGUGAUAGUCCCGUAAGGGUAAAGAUUUAUCGCUUUGGGAAAGGCCUGUGAGGUAUCAGCUAGUUGGUAGUGUAAUGGACUACCAAGGCUAUGACGCCUAGGGGAGCUGAGAGGCUGACCCCCACCGAUGGUACUGAGACACGGACCAUACACCUACGGGUGGCUGCAGUCAAGAACCUUCCACAAUGGGCGAAAGCCUGAUGGAGCGACGCCGCGUGAUUGAAGAAGUCCUUCGGGACGUAAAGAUCUUUUAUGAGGGAGGAAGUUUAUUGACGUUACCUCAUGAAUAAGGGGCUCCUAAUCUCGU